Molecule: ribosomal RNA, 108 nt
Filed under: Cyathea costaricensis
Lineage: Eukaryota; Viridiplantae; Streptophyta; Polypodiopsida; Cyatheales; Cyatheaceae
Description: 5.8S ribosomal RNA
Rfam family: 5.8S ribosomal RNA
About the family: 5.8S ribosomal RNA (5.8S rRNA) is a component of the large subunit of the eukaryotic ribosome. It is transcribed by RNA polymerase I as part of the 45S precursor that also contains 18S and 28S rRNA. Functionally, it is thought that 5.8S rRNA may be involved in ribosome translocation.
Source: RNAcentral
ACGGAUAUCUUGGCUCUUGCAACGAUGAAGAACGCAGCGAAAUGCGAUACGUAGUGUGAAUUGCAGAAUUCCGCGAAUCAUCGAGUUUUUGAACGCAACUUGCGCCCG